RNAcentral lists this long non-coding RNA (510 nucleotides) under Pan paniscus (pygmy chimpanzee). Its description in RNAcentral is "lncRNA (ENSPPAG00000044399.1)". Lineage: Eukaryota; Metazoa; Chordata; Mammalia; Primates; Hominidae. The record is from RNAcentral.
CUCCACUCUCCUUCAAGAAAACACUUCAGUUUCCCAGUGAAGAAUCAGGAUCAUGACUCUGACCAAUGUGUGGUAGCAGCUUGUGAGUAGGAAGAUGGAAGAAUCUCCAUCUCUUUUGGCAUCAUGGAACUGUCCUGCAUGGCUUACUUCCAGACUUUGUUAUAAACUGUCACAGUCCAAAUUCCCAAUAAAUGCCUUCUGGACUGAAUUCAGGUGGGAGAAAUAAAAGGAAAAUGCAAGCCGUGUUUAGGAAAUGAAUAAUUCUCUGCAACAAUCAAGACCAAUUGCAUUAAGACAAAAAGUUUACAAAAUGACAAGAUCAUUACAUAAUUUACAACUCUGUUGAUAGAGUACCUAUACAAGUAACACUAAGUAUGUAUAAUGAGCACACUGUACAUACUUCAAAAUUUGCCAUUUAAUUGUAUUAUAUGGUAGCCCAUUUGAUUAAUAUGGGCAACAUUAGUGUAAAUUGGCAAAGCAACUACUACAUGUGUAAACAAUGCCACUUCA